GCAGCUGGGGAAUUAGCGGUGCCCUGUACCUGCAAUCCGCUACAGCAGGGGUGAUGCCGAUUCUGAGGACGGUCUUUUGUGAGGACUGCCUUUGGUAAGUGACGUUGACGUCUGGGUCUUACGCAAUAGAGGCCUCUGAACCGUGUCAGGUCAGGAAUGGAGCAGCACUAAGGAGUCUCCUUUAUGUGCCGUAAGGCAGCCUGGGCUGAGUUAACUGCCAGAGUAACGCUUGUAGAAGCCAUUCGAGGUUUCGGCGCACG
RNAcentral lists this signal recognition particle RNA (260 nucleotides) under bovine gut metagenome. RNAcentral describes it as "Bacterial large signal recognition particle RNA". It matches the Rfam family "Bacterial large signal recognition particle RNA". Rfam says of the family: The signal recognition particle (SRP) is a universally conserved ribonucleoprotein involved in the co-translational targeting of proteins to membranes. The record is from RNAcentral.